UAUCUAGAUCUAAUACAAUGUGGAAUGUGU
This 30-nucleotide non-coding RNA is filed under the name Mus musculus (house mouse). The record is from RNAcentral. Lineage: Eukaryota; Metazoa; Chordata; Mammalia; Rodentia; Muridae.